UACAUCGCCCGACCACUCUAU
RNAcentral lists this microRNA (21 nucleotides) under Ectocarpus siliculosus. RNAcentral's name for it is "esi-miR3450-5p". The record is from miRBase by way of RNAcentral. Lineage: Eukaryota; Phaeophyceae; Ectocarpales; Ectocarpaceae.